AUUGGACGCUGGCGGCAUGCUUUACACGUGCAAGUCGAACGGCAGCGCGGGCUUCGGCCUGGCGGCGAGUGGCGAACGGGUGAGUAAUACAUCGGAACGUGCCCAGUAGUGGGGGAUAGCUCGGCGAAAGCCGGAUUAAUACCGCAUACGACCUGAGGGUGAAAGCGGGGGAUCUUCGGACCUCGCGCUAUUGGAGCGGCCGAUGGCAGAUUAGCUAGUUGGUGGGGUAAAGGCCUACCAAGGCGACGAUCUGUAGCUGGUCUGAGAGGACGACCAGCCACACUGGGACUGAGACACGGCCCAGACUCCUACGGGAGGCAGCAGUGGGGAAUUUUGGACAAUGGGCGAAAGCCUGAUCCAGCAAUGCCGCGUGUGUGAUGAAGGCCUUCGGGUUGUAAAGCACUUUUGGCGGGAACGAAAAGGACUGUGCCAAUACCACGGUUCGAUGACGGUACCCGCAGAAUAAGCACCGGCUAACUACGUG
Molecule: ribosomal RNA, 484 nt
Filed under: uncultured bacterium
Lineage: Bacteria
Description: partial 16S ribosomal RNA
Rfam family: Bacterial small subunit ribosomal RNA
Source: RNAcentral